This is a long non-coding RNA of Carassius carassius (crucian carp), 1007 nucleotides long. RefSeq lists it as uncharacterized. Lineage: Eukaryota; Metazoa; Chordata; Actinopteri; Cypriniformes; Cyprinidae. The transcript has 6 exons. The record is from RefSeq and is a predicted model, not a curated record.
ACCACCACCACCACCAUGAUGGAGCAGAUGUAGUUUGUUGCCACCAUGGACCAGUUGUGGUACUUUGGUAAUACCAUGAUGGGUGGAAACCACUUGGUUGGUCACAUGUGGCACAUUCGACAUGCUGCUGAGCUCCAUAUCUACAUAUGACCUGGUCACCAUCUGGGUCAUAGGCCAUCAGAUGAUAUUUUCUGCUUGGCACCAGCUGUUGGUGUAAGCACUUCUGCCGUUAGAGCUGCUAUCGAUUUGACCAUAUUGACUGCUGGAUUCAUAGCCACAAUCUCCAGAGGAGCAGAACCACCAACUAGCAUCACACCAGUCAUAGGGCUGAAGGUCACUGAGCCUCCAUAAUGGUGUCCUGCUGAAACAAUGGACACCAGAAGCAGAAGAUUCAACACCACAGCUGAGGACAUCAUGGUACCUGAGCCCCUGAGCUCACUUCACCUGUGAAUCACAUCUGAGCAACUGCUUUUAUACAUCUCAGGAAAAUUGAAGCAUUAUGCUUUGAAAAAAAAAAAAAACAGCUGACAUGACUAAAACUCGUGUGAUGGCACAGGUUUGUAUCCCAUCCUUUGCCCUCUGGCUCUGUAGACGAUCACUCCACACACCAUAGUAACUAUUGCCACGAGACAAAGAGCGAUGACGACGAGGUUUAGAUUCAGUCCCGGGCUUACGGUGGCCUCUGAAAUCCGCAGGGGCCCCUGGGAGAUGAAGUGAAUAGCGCUCUGGAUGGGAGCCUCUCUUUUGUGUUGGUGGUGGGACGGUGGAGCGACUGUGCUGUUGACACAGCCCUGAGAGCAGCGGGUGUUGGAAUUGUUGGCCUGGCAUAUGAUGAUUGAGCAGCUGAUGAACACCUAGAGAGGGAAGAGAGGAAGACAAAAAGGCAGAAGACAGGGUUAAACAGAAAUAUUCAUACUUUAUUUUACUUGUAGAGAUGUGCUGUAUUCUUUAAUGGUGUUUAUAUCAGAGUAUAUGUGAAACCUCGCUUUCAGAAAAACGUUUAAAAA